Molecule: transfer RNA, 69 nt
Filed under: Sphaerodactylus townsendi
Lineage: Eukaryota; Metazoa; Chordata; Lepidosauria; Squamata; Sphaerodactylidae
Description: tRNA-Ala
Rfam family: tRNA
About the family: Transfer RNA (tRNA) molecules are approximately 80 nucleotides in length. Their secondary structure includes four short double-helical elements and three loops (D, anti-codon, and T loops).
Source: RNAcentral
GCUGUGGCUCAGUGGAAGAACCUCUGCUUUGCAUGCAGAAGAGCCCAGGUUCAAUACCUCGCAUCUCCA